RNAcentral lists this ribosomal RNA (450 nucleotides) under uncultured bacterium. RNAcentral's name for it is "bacterial SSU rRNA". It matches the Rfam family "Bacterial small subunit ribosomal RNA", at positions 64 to 507 of the family's 1533-position model. The record is from RNAcentral.
GAGCGGUAACAGGUGUAGCAAUACAUGCUGACGAGCGGCGAACGGGUGAGCAAUGCUUCGGAAUCUGCCCAAUGGUGGGGAAUAACCAGCCGAAAGGUUGGCUAAUACCGCAUGAGCCCUACGGGGGAAAGCAGGGGAUCGCAAGACCUUGCGCCGAUGGAUGAGCCGAAGUCGGAUUAGCUAGUUGGUAGGGUAACGGCCUACCAAGGCGACGAUCCGUAGCUGGUCUGAGAGGACGACCAGCCACACUGGGACUGAGACACGGCCCAGACUCCUACGGGAGGCAGCAGUGGGGAAUAUUGGACAAUGGGGGCAACCCUGAUCCAGCGACGCCGCGUGUGUGAAGAAGGCCUGCGGGUUGUAAAGCACUUUUAGUGGGGAUGAAAAGCUCAGGGCUAACACCUCUGGGUCUUGACCUAACCCACAGAAAAAGCACCGGCUAACUCUGUG